This 227-nucleotide unclassified non-coding RNA is filed under the name Hevea brasiliensis (rubber tree). Lineage: Eukaryota; Viridiplantae; Streptophyta; Magnoliopsida; Malpighiales; Euphorbiaceae. The record is from RNAcentral.
GGCUUUGACCCCUAUUAGGAGUUCUGCUGCGGCUCCUUGAAUGCGAGUAUGACCUCUCUUGACUAUACCUCUUCUCCUGGGGUGAAACAGAUCUUGAGUAAUGUCGUCUUUUAGGAGAAGAAUGAUAAUCACGACUAAGGGACCGAGACCUUGCAUUGCGUGGAGGUGAACGGGAAUAGCGAGGUGAGCGUGAAUAAUGUGGUGGGGAUCGCCUUCGAUCACGAAAU